Molecule: long non-coding RNA, 1097 nt
Filed under: Paramuricea clavata
Lineage: Eukaryota; Metazoa; Cnidaria; Anthozoa; Malacalcyonacea; Plexauridae
Source: RNAcentral
CUUUCAUCUACAUUGCUGAAACUCAACGAUCAGGAAAGAUUAUGUCGAAGUAUAGCUAUCUGUUAUCACACGAACACCAAGACUCUUCCGUCCGUGCGGUACAACAUGAAUAUCUAGGACGAUAUAUGCACCAGACACUGGUAUUGUACUUUAUAGUAUAUUAUUUUAUAUUUCGUGUAUUACCGUAAUUUACAGCGGGUACAUUAUAAAUCUUAUAAAGACUUUUCAUUGGCAUUGGCAUUGCCCAUUGUCAUUGAGGGCUUUACUUGAAGAAUAAUCCAGCUUAAAGGACAAUGGCACCGAAAAUUUUUAUUGGCUAUUUCAAUCCUACUUGACGACCUAACUAUGAAAAUAUUGUCAUUUCGUUCUCAAACAUUUUAGUCUACGAGUAAAAUGCAUGCAAACUUUGUGUUUCGCCGCCAUCUUGGAAAUAUUGUUUGAAAAAUUAUCUCGAAGGUCAAUGAACUUUGUGACGUCAUUGGAUGGGUAGCACCAAAACUACAAGAGAGAAUUCUAUUGCGUGCGUGUUAUGUUAGCCAAAAAUAUGUCGUUUUGAGCGUUAUACUGGCCAACACUCUUCGCAAUCAAACAAGAUAAGUCUACACUAUCAGAUAAAAACAUAUCGAGCGACUGGGAAAGCAAGGAAUGGCGCAAUUUACAAUACAGGUAAUUGAUCAUAAAAUAUUGCAUUAGUAUUUGUCUUGUUACACUCGAAUUUCUGCGUUUAUUUAACACGGAGUAGGAUAUAUACUAUGAGAAAUAGUGUUACAAACAAGUUACAUANNNNNNNNNNNNNNNNNNNNCAAUUUACAAUACAGGUAAUUGAUCAUAAAAUAUUGCAUUAGUAUUUGUCUUGUUACACUCGAAUUUCUGCGUUUAUUUAACACGGAGUAGGAUAUAUACUAUGAGAAAUAGUGUUACAAACAAGUUACAUACUUGGUAAAACUUUGCUGCCUUUUGUUUCGGCUCAAAAUACACUACGCGCGGCAAUACUCGGUAUUGUUUAUAGUCAUGAAAUUGUGUUUACCCAGCAAAUGACGUCAGAUAAUAUAUUUUGUGGCAUAAAUUAGCAUACGCGCUUAUUUUCAAAAUGGCGG